CCUACGGGAGGCUGCAGUGGGGAAUAUUGCACAAUGGGGGAAACCCUGAUGCAGCGACGCCGCGUGAAGGAAGAAGUAUUUCGGUAUGUAAACUUCUAUCAGCAGGGAAGAAAACGACGGUACCUGACUAAGAAGCCCCGGCUAACUACGUGCCAGCAGCCGCGGUAAUACGUGGGGGGCAAGCGUUAUCCGGAUUUACUGGGUGUAAAGGGAGCGUAGGCGGUUUAGCAAGUCAGAAGUGAAAGCCCGGGGCUCAACUCCGGGACUGCUUUUGAAACUGUUGAACUAGAGUGCAGGAGAGGUAGGUGGAAUGCCUAGUGUAGCGGUGAAAUGCGUAGAUAUUAGGAAGAACACCAGUGGCGAAGGCGGCUUACUGGACUGUAAAUGACGCUGAGGCUCGAAAGCGUGGGGAGCAAACAGGAUUAGAUACCCUGGUAGUC
This 440-nucleotide ribosomal RNA is filed under the name uncultured bacterium. RNAcentral describes it as "partial 16S ribosomal RNA". It matches the Rfam family "Bacterial small subunit ribosomal RNA", at positions 338 to 795 of the family's 1533-position model. The record is from RNAcentral.